RNAcentral lists this ribosomal RNA (253 nucleotides) under uncultured bacterium. RNAcentral's name for it is "partial 16S ribosomal RNA". It matches the Rfam family "Bacterial small subunit ribosomal RNA", at positions 524 to 776 of the family's 1533-position model. The record is from RNAcentral.
GACGAAGGUGGCUAGCGUUGUUCGGAAUCACUGGGCUUAAAGCGUGUGUAGGCGGUCUGUUAAGCGUCUUGUGAAAGCCCUCGGCUCAACCGAGGAAUUGCUGGGCGAACUGGCAGACUUGAGGCAGGUAGGGGCGCGUGGAACUCUUGGUGGAGCGGUGGAAUGCGUAGAUAUCAAGAGGAACGCCGGUGGCGAAAGCGGCGCGCUGGGCCUGUCCUGACGCUGAGAUACGAAAGCCAGGGGAGCAAACGGG